AUGAACGCUGGCGGCGUGCCUAACACAUGCAAGUCGAACGGAGUAUAUUCGCUGCAGAGAUUUCGGUCGAAGCUUGAGUAUACUUAGUGGCGGACGGGUGAGUAACGCGUGGGCAACCUGCCUCAUACUGGGGGAUAGCAGUUGGAAACGACUGAUAAUACCGCAUAAGCGCACGGUAUCGCAUGAUACAGUGUGAAAAACUCCGGUGGUAUGAGAUGGGCCCGCGUCAGAUUAGCUAGUUGGUAAGGUAACGGCUUACCAAGGCGACGAUCUGUAGCCGGACUGAGAGGUCGGACGGCCACAUUGGGACUGAGACACGGCCCAAACUCCUACGGGAGGCAGCAGUGGGGGAUAUUGCACAAUGGAGGAAACUCUGAUGCAGCGACGCCGCCGUGAGUGAAGAAGUAUUUCGGUAUGUAAAGCUCUAUCAGCAGGGAAGAAAGGCCCGCAAGGGAGAUGACGGUACCUGACUAAGAAGCCCCGGCUAACUACGUGCCAGCAGCGGC
This 506-nucleotide ribosomal RNA is filed under the name uncultured bacterium. Its description in RNAcentral is "bacterial SSU rRNA". It matches the Rfam family "Bacterial small subunit ribosomal RNA", at positions 29 to 518 of the family's 1533-position model. The record is from RNAcentral.